RNAcentral lists this transfer RNA (98 nucleotides) under Malassezia restricta CBS 7877. RNAcentral describes it as "tRNA-OTHER". It matches the Rfam family "tRNA". Rfam says of the family: Transfer RNA (tRNA) molecules are approximately 80 nucleotides in length. Their secondary structure includes four short double-helical elements and three loops (D, anti-codon, and T loops). Further hydrogen bonds mediate the characteristic L-shaped molecular structure. tRNAs have two regions of fundamental functional importance: the anti-codon, which is responsible for specific mRNA codon recognition, and the 3' end, to which the tRNAs corresponding amino acid is attached (by aminoacyl-tRNA synthetases). tRNAs cope with the degeneracy of the genetic code in two manners: having more than one tRNA (with a specific anti-codon) for a particular amino acid; and 'wobble' base-pairing, i.e. permitting non-standard base-pairing at the 3rd anti-codon position. Lineage: Eukaryota; Fungi; Basidiomycota; Malasseziomycetes; Malasseziales; Malasseziaceae. The record is from RNAcentral.
UGACCUUGUAACUCAGUUGGUUAGAGUAUCACGUUAACACAAGCGUGACUAGCGGCGAUUACCGUGAAAGUCCCCGGUUCGAGUCCGGGCAAGGUCAU